CCCUACGGGGUGCAGCAGGCACCAGUCCGGCCAAUCCGGCAGAUCGCGCCCUUUCCCUGCACGGACAUCAUUAACCAUUUCGACCAUAUGCGGAAACAAGAGCUGGAUGUUAUGCAGCUCCUGAUCCUGGGGGCUCAAUCGAGAGGGGUGGCGAUCAGCACGAGGCAUCAACUGGCCCGCAUUUCCCGGUCAAUCAGCCCACGAACGUACUCGGACUGGUUUGGCUUGCUCCGCAACCAUUCGAUCAUCUCAAGCGGUAACAAUAGGGAUAUCUGCUUCAUGGAUUCGCUAUAUAU
This 296-nucleotide ribosomal RNA is filed under the name uncultured prokaryote. RNAcentral's name for it is "partial 16S ribosomal RNA". The record is from RNAcentral.